RNAcentral lists this long non-coding RNA (1622 nucleotides) under Lathyrus oleraceus (garden pea). Its description in RNAcentral is "Pisum sativum (pea) long non-coding RNA (PSAT_LNC032842)". Lineage: Eukaryota; Viridiplantae; Streptophyta; Magnoliopsida; Fabales; Fabaceae. The record is from RNAcentral.
ACAAUUGGACCUACAUGAACUUUUUUCCAUUUUAAGCCAUUUUUCAUUUCAAUCAAUAGCCAUGUUAAACCAUUUUUAAGCCAACUUCCAAACAUUUACAUUAGACCAUCAUUCAAUUCCAAGUACAUAUAUUCAACCAUUACAACCAUGUUUAUACAAAUUCCAUACAUAUUUCAUAUAUUCAAUGUAUUCAAUAAACCAACUACAAAGUUCAUAUACUCCAAUAGCCAAAUCCAAAGCCCUGUAUUUUUCACUGACAAUCUCCAAGCUUCAUAACUAAUCCAAGUCCAAACAUGUAAACAUCCCUGCAAAUCCAAGCCGAGUUUGAAUCCAUCAUACACUUCAUGGCCAAUGACAACCUGCAUAACUGUAAUAGAAAAAACAUGAUUCCACAAGCAAGCCAUUGAAUUCAAGACCCUGCGUCAUUGUCCAAACAGAGGAAAAAUAAAAACCAGUCUUAGCCUGCAAGAAAAAGCUAAAUGCACUAUAACUCAGUUCUAAACAAAAUCCUCUAACUUCCUUCUUCAUUUACACUCACCAUUAAACUAACAACGUUCUAACUGAUCAUUAUCCAACUAAAUAAUUAUUUCCUAACUUCCUAACUACCUGUAAUAGAAAGCAAACAACAUAAAAUAAUUGAGAUUGUGUAUAAAAGCAUCACUACAACAUUCACUCUCUCACUUUUCUUACUCACACAAAAAUUCUCAAUCACUGAAAACAAAAUCGUCUUCUCAACUCACCUUUCAGCAAUCUCAGGAAUUUUCUCACUUUUCUUGAGAUUUCAAAAAUCAUCUCAUUCACAUUUUAUCACCUUCAUCACCCUCUGAUUCUUUCACUUUUCUGAACUCACAUAAAAAUUCUCAAUCACUGCAAAAAGAAUCAUAUUCCUCACUCAUUCUUCACAGAACAAUCAUCAUCCUCUUCACUCCUCUCAAGAAUACUCGUCAAUCCAUAUUUAUCACCAUAUAAACAAUUCUCUCACUUCAGAACCACAACACACGCAUAGAAGAAGAGAAUCGAAGGCACGUAACAGAAGAAGAAGGAGAAGACAAAGAGAAGACACGCGAACAAAGAGAACACAAAGAAGAGUUUCAAGAUUGUACCAGAAGCCAAUGUAUUAUCCUGUAGGUCUCCAUUCUUCUUUUCAUCGUUUUAUAAAAUAAAAGUUACCACUAUGUAGCCCUCCAUGAGGGGAAUCAAAGCCCCAAGGUGGAGUGGCUUGAUUCCCCUCUGUUUUGAUUUAAUUUGAAAUCUCUUAGUUAUGGUUCUUCACGUUUUCCAUUCGAUUUGAAUAGUUCAAGAAGAAUUAGGAGUUUCCAUUAUCAUUUUUGGAUUCAGGGCAUAGAAAUGGUUUAGGUGAUGUUCUCGAUUGAGUUUAAGGAGUGUCUCUGUCGCCGGAGAUGGCCUCCGACGCGACGGAGGGAGGACUGAGAGAGAAGGGAGAUGACGUGUUCCAUAGUUUAGUUUUGAGUUCUUCAACAUGUUUUGCAUGUGCAUUUUAUUACUUUUAGUUUAUUAGUUCUAGUUAUUGAUGACUCAUUUCCAUGUCAACUUCAACCUUAUCCAUUCCAAUUGCACAUGUUGAUUUUCGUGUGGGCUUGUGUGUUUGGACCUAUUUGCAU